AAUUAUUUUUUAUUUAAUAAAAA
This 23-nucleotide small nuclear RNA is filed under the name Arabidopsis thaliana (thale cress). Its description in RNAcentral is "snRNA_13039". Lineage: Eukaryota; Viridiplantae; Streptophyta; Magnoliopsida; Brassicales; Brassicaceae. The record is from RNAcentral.